UCGGGAAUUUUGGGCAAUGGGCGAAAGCCUGACCCAGCAACGCCGCGUGAAGGAUGAAGUCUCUCGGGAUGUAAACUUCGUAAGAAUAGGAAGAAUAAAUGACGGUACUAUUUGUAAGGUCCGGCUAACUACGUGCCAGCAGCCGCGGUAAUACGUAGGGACCAAGCGUUGUUCGGAUUUACUGGGCGUAAAGGGCGCGUAGGCGGCGUGGUAAGUCACUUGUGAAAUCUCCGAGCUUAACUCGGAACGGUCAAGUGAUACUGCUGUGCUAGAGUACAGAAGGGGCAAUCGGAAUUCUUGGUGUAGCGGUGAAAUGCGUAGAUAUCAAGAGGAACACCUGAGGUGAAGACGGGUUGCUGGGCUGACACUGACGCUGAGGCGCGAAAGCCAGGGGAGCAAACGGGAUUAGAUACCCCUGUAGUCCCUGAGCGGGCUGGCAAGGCGCAU
This 447-nucleotide ribosomal RNA is filed under the name uncultured bacterium. RNAcentral describes it as "bacterial SSU rRNA". It matches the Rfam family "Bacterial small subunit ribosomal RNA", at positions 355 to 825 of the family's 1533-position model. The record is from RNAcentral.